CAAGGAAUUUUCCGCAAUGGGCGAAAGCCUGACGGAGCAACGCCGCGUGCAGGAAGACGGCCUUCGGGUUGUAAAGCCCUUUCACCGGGGAAGAUGAUGACAUUACCCGGAGAAGAAGCGCCGGCUAACUCCGUGCCAGCAGCCGCGGUAAGACGGAGGGCGCUAGCGUUGUUCGGAAUCACUGGGCGUAAAGGGCGCGUAGGCGGCUGUUUAAGUCGAGGGUGAAAGCCCGGGGCUCAACCCCGGAACGGCCUUCGAGACUGGGCAGCUCGAGACCGGAAGAGGAGGGUGGAAUACCCAGUGUAGAGGUGAAAUUCGUAGAUAUUGGGUGGAACACCAGUGGCGAAAGCGGCUCUCUGGUCCGGAUCUGACGCUGAGGCGCGAAAGCGUGGGGAGCAAACAGGAUUAGAUACCCCCGUAGUCC
Molecule: ribosomal RNA, 424 nt
Filed under: uncultured prokaryote
Description: bacterial SSU rRNA
Rfam family: Bacterial small subunit ribosomal RNA
Source: RNAcentral